GGCAUAUCAAAAGCGGAGGAAAAGAAACCAACAGGGAUUGCCCUAGUAACGGCGAGUGAAGCGGCAACAGCUCAAAUUUGAAAUCUGGCUCUUUCAGAGUCCGAGUUGUAAUUUGCAGAGGGCGCUUUGGCUUUGGCAGCGGUCCAAGUUCCUUGGAACAGGACGUCACAGAGGGUGAGAAUCCCGUACGUGGUCGCUAGCUAUUGCCGUGUAAAGCCCCUUCGACGAGUCGAGUUGUUUGGGAAUGCAGCUCUAAAUGGGAGGUAAAUUUCUUCUAAAGCUAAAUAUUGGCCAGAGACCGAUAGCGCACAAGUAGAGUGAUCGAAAGAUGAAAAGCACUUUGGAAAGAGAGUCAAACAGCACGUGAAAUUGUUGAAAGGGAAGCGCUUGCAGCCAGACUUGCUUGCAGUUGCUCAUCCGGGCUUUUGCCCGGUGCACUCUUCUGUAGGCAGGCCAGCAUCAGUUUGGGCGGUGGGAUAAAGGUCUCUGUCACGUACCUCUCUUCGGGGAGGCCUUAUAGGGGAGACGACAUACCACCAGCCUAGACUGAGGUCCGCGCAUCUGCUAGGAUGCUGGCGUAAUGGCUGUAAGCGGCCCGUCUUGAACACGGACCA
This 614-nucleotide ribosomal RNA is filed under the name Bipolaris woodii. Its description in RNAcentral is "partial large subunit ribosomal RNA". It matches the Rfam family "Eukaryotic large subunit ribosomal RNA", at positions 37 to 668 of the family's 3401-position model. The record is from RNAcentral. Lineage: Eukaryota; Fungi; Ascomycota; Dothideomycetes; Pleosporales; Pleosporaceae.